GUUAUAGCAAGACUGAAGUAGUUGACUUAUCUCCGCAUUUCUUAGUAUUGAUAUUUUGCGUGUUGUCUUUUCAGAUAUUUGUUCAUACUGGCAUUCCCCCCGCUUCAAAAAGAUCCUGAAAAUUCACACUAACCGGCUACCAAUCUUCAGCAUUAUGCCCCUAAAUCGUGGGUGGACACGAUGUUAUGAAAGUGAUCAAAAUAAUUUUGAGAAACUGCUUAAUUCAACCUUUUUUCAUAUGAAAAUUCUAUUGCAUCACCAGGCUGACGGUGCUUGAUGGGUUUUGUGCUAUUGCAACGUCAGGCCUUUUCUGCAAGCAAAUUGAAAAGAAUAUUCUGGAUGCCAAGGAUGACCACAGUGAUUCUGAUCCUUACUGCCAAUGAAUCUCUGUGAAGUAUGUACUCCAGUAACCAGCACCAGAAAACUAAAAAUUGAUGCCAUAAUGGCGAUUGAUGUGUUUGGUAAACAAGACAUGGCACCACCACAGCAUACACCAAUCAAAAAAAAAGUUGUAAAAAGAAAGAAGGUUGAUCCAGAAGCCCCAGGUGAAACCAAGAAAAAGUCUGAAACUGUUGUGUUGCAAUCUGUUAUCUCUACUGCAAAGUUCUCAUAAGUUGGUGGCAACAAAAAUUCCCAAGUAGUGCGUUAGCUUUUUCUUCACAUGAAGCAAAUCCGUUACCUUUUUGAACAAUCGACGUCUUCUGCUCCGUGUAUAACAUUAAUUGACGCCAUUACGCUCAAGAGAGAAAUGGUUCAACGAUAGAUGGAACGAAGUAUUUUUGCAUAGCUUCUCACCUGCAUGGAUGACCUGACGCCUUAGAUCCUGCCUUAAGAAGAGCUGGCCGAUUUGACCGAAACAUAUCACUUCUGGGAUGACCUCACCGCAAGAGAGAAGAUUCUCAAAGUGAACUGCAAGAACCUCAGUUUAGAAUGGAUAUGGGCUUUUAAGUAUUUGGCUUUGAGCACAUCAUCAUAGCUAGGAAUAGGUGGGAAAAAAAAAGAUUUGAAAUUCUGUUUUUCACUUCUCACCAGUCAGUCACCACAAGACGGAUCACGGAUGGAGUUAAUAUAUUUGGCUCAAGAAUUGGGUAAUUUGGUAUUUAUAUAAUAUUUGAUAUUAUUUAAGGUAAUUGAACUGAAUAUUGUGCAAGUUUUUUUCUUCAUCUUUAAAGAAUCGUUUGUUUCGAUGCAAUCAUUCAACGCUGCUCUUUUUUUUU
This 1217-nucleotide long non-coding RNA is filed under the name Daphnia pulex (common water flea). Its description in RNAcentral is "uncharacterized LOC124196910, transcript variant X2". Lineage: Eukaryota; Metazoa; Arthropoda; Branchiopoda; Diplostraca; Daphniidae. The record is from RNAcentral.